UAAAAAUAAAAUAUAAAGAUAGAAACUCUCUAUUUGACUGACUAACUGACUGACCCGUUGAGUGAUUAAGGUGAGGUCUUGGGAUUGAAAUAUCAUCAAUCAAACAAGAAGAAGAAGCAAUUGAAAAAAGAAUGAUGGGGGGAGGGGAUGAUGAUGAUAUGAUGAGGAUGAUGAUGAUAAGGUGGAUAACAGAUGACCAAAUGUUAUCCAUAUUAAUGUUGUUACCGGUGGAAUCCAUAUUAUCAUUUGGGAUGAGUUGCAAGAAGGCCAGGCGUCUCACCCGCUCGAAUGCUCUUUGGAAAUCAAUCUGCUUCAGGGAUUGGGGGAUUACUCCCACUCAACACCAACACCUUCUUCUUCUUCUUCAAUCCUCCUCAGAUUCUUCUUCUUCUUCUUCUGACGCUAAUAAUUCUGGGGGGGAAUUCGAUUGGAACAGACUCUACAGGCGCCUCCGUAACCUGGAUCGAGUCUCUUGCUUUAACAUGAUACCCCUCGAUAGCAGUCCCACCCCAAGAGCUUCCCAUUCUCUCAAUUUUUUCAAAGGAUGUCUCCUCCUUUUCGGUGGUGGUUCCGAGGGAGGGCGUCAUCUUGACGACACUUGGAUUGCAUAUACAGGUAAUAAUGGGUUUUUUACGAGGACCAUUCAUUGGCAACGACUUGUAUCAUCAUCAUCAGACACCCCUAGUGGUCGUUUUGGUCAUUCUUGUGUUGUCAUAGGGGACUCUCUUGUUCUCUUUGGAGGUAUCAAUGACAGCGGCAUCCGUCAGAACGAUACAUGGGUAGCACGACACCAUACUAACGCUUUGUCUUGGACGCUACUUGAUGUCGGUCCCGUGUCACCUCCCACUCGUGGAGCCCAUGCUUGUUGUUCUCUCGAUAAUCAUACCAUGCUAAUCCAUGGAGGUAUCGGCUUAUCUGGGAUGAGACUAGGAGACACCUGGGUGUUACAUCUCUCAGACAAUCUUUCUUUUGGCACCUGGCAUCAAUCCAUCGCACACCCCUCUCCCUCGCCUCGAUCAGGACACACAUUGACCUAUAUCGGUAGUAGGACUGUUCUGUUUGGGGGAAGAGGAACAGGUUAUGAGGUUCUUAAUGAUGUCUGGUAUUUUGAUUCUUCUCAACCCCCUCAUUUUCAAUGGGUACCCGUACUGUUUGAUCUAGCCGAUAUAACUGGUGGUGCUGGGACUUCCCUCCCACGUGUUGGACAUUCGGCCACCUUGAUUCUAGGAGGGAGGGUGCUUAUUUACGGUGGAGAAGAUUCAUACAGGCACAGGAAGAAUGACUUUUGGUUGCUAGACAUCACUAGUUCAACAAGGCUGGGUCACGACCAGGGUAUGUUAUGGAGAAGGCUAAAAUGCGAUGACGGAUAUCAGCCCAGAAGCAGGUCAUUCCAUCGAGCUUGUGCAGAUGAAUCCGGAUGUUAUCUGUAUGUUUUUGGUGGAAUGGUGGAUGGGGUCCUCCAGCCUGCUCAACCUACGGGACUCAGGUUUGAUGGAGAACUUUUUUCCGUAAAGCUUCUACUGUAAAACAACUGGUACUAACCGAUAGCCACCUGGUAUGGUGAGUCGUGGUUUUGAUCUUGGAUCUUCCAGAAUUAGCUUGACCACAGACAAUUAUGACUACUUGAAAACAGGGGAUACGUUAGCUGUUGAUGGUAAAUGAUGUUUCUAUGAGGUGAGAGGUUGUCUCAUCGCGGGCCCCAAGUCGACCAUUGAUCAUCGGCUUCUAAACGUAAUGUUGGAUGGUGGUGGAAAAAGGUGAAUCUCUCAUGUGUAUAAACUCAACUUGAAGGGGGUAGGAAGGUGGCCACAUCACUACAUCUUAACUUGUUGCUGGAUUAUAGGGUAAUGAUAUUCGUACCACAUAUUUUGGUAAAUUUACCACACAGUACAACUUUCUGAACACAAUGUACAAGUUCUUAAAACACAUGUGUGAUAUAUUUAUCACAACCUGUGGUACCAAUAUUACUUCCCAUAUAAUAUAUGUACGCUGACAGUUGCCGACGGAGGAAGCAGCCACAAGUGCGAGUGAGUGUAGGGUACCUGCUUUCAGUAUGUGGCUGCUGGUUGCCUGUCUGUAAGGCCAGUGUGGUCCUUAUUUCUACAUCAUUGCAUUCAUAAUCAUCUCCUUUUGCCAACAAAAUAUCAAGGGCCCCUCUUCAAAUUAUACUAUACUCCUACAACACAGUUGACACAGUGGUCCUAUUGUGGACAUGGCCCUGUAAUUUCUUUCUCAGGCGACAUUGUUUCCUCUAAUCCAUAUGAGUCAUUGCCAUAGUUGACAUUAGAUGUUUACCGUGCACACAAUAUUCAGGUCUAUGUAUAUUUGUAUCCAUAUAUGGUCUUGAGUAACCAUUGUCCACUAUGGUUAAGCUUAUCAUUGCUAACUAACAAUCAUUAUAUGAACCCCUACACUUUGCAUGUUUAUAAAAAAGAUAUUUCAUAAUUAGUCAUCA
Erigeron canadensis is the source of this 2455-nucleotide RNA transcript. It is a transcript of the gene named F-box/kelch-repeat protein At1g51550, with no coding region annotated. Lineage: Eukaryota; Viridiplantae; Streptophyta; Magnoliopsida; Asterales; Asteraceae. The transcript has 3 exons. The record is from RefSeq and is a predicted model, not a curated record.